Molecule: long non-coding RNA, 1161 nt
Organism: Amaranthus tricolor (Joseph's coat)
Lineage: Eukaryota; Viridiplantae; Streptophyta; Magnoliopsida; Caryophyllales; Amaranthaceae
Exons: 3
Source: RefSeq, a predicted model, not a curated record
AAAAUUCAGUUCUAUGGCUUCUACAAAAUCACUAUUCAUCUUCUUCCUUAAACCCCUCUUUUCCCAAACCCUAAUUCUCUCAAGGUUGAGCAAGAAAUAGAAAUAAUAAAUCAAAAUGUGCUAAUCCUCCCAAAUCUCUUCUUAAAUUCUUUAUGGAAGUCGAAGGAAAACCAACAAAUUUCGAUUUACCCUUGCCUCUUUUGCAUACGACUAUGGCGACCAAUCUUUGAAGGCUUUCGAACCUCAGCAACUACUUGAUUCUUCGUUCUUUUCCGCGAGUGAACACAUCAAUAACAUUACUUUGGGGAUCUUCGUUUCCAACAUUUUCCUGUGAAAUCUAGUAAUCAAAAGCACAUUUUGGUAUUUAUCAAUCAUCGCUUCACCUCGGAGACAAUAUCAUCGAGGAACCUUUCUGGUUGAUAGCUGUGCAUCGGGCGCGAGUCCUUGAAGCGACAUUGUCGAUCGGUACUGGCCGGAAACGAAGGGAUAUCAAGGGCAAUUAGAGUAUAUUUGAGUGUUAUUUCGGAUUUGAGUAUGUAUAAAAGUCGUAGUUUGUAUGUUGGGCUUUAGUAUGUGUGUAGUAGAUUUGGUUAUGUAGACUAUUUUAGACUUUUAUAGUUGGUUGUACGAGUAUUUUUGGACUUUGGCUUAGAUGUUUGAACUUAAGAUUAGUUGUUCAGUUAUGUUUUAGAUAUCGUGACCUUUCGAGAGUUGUGAUUUGAGUUUGAACGCUUUGGACAAGUUGACAUGUCUUAUAACGUUGUCAAUUGUUUGAGAUUUGAGUUCUUUGGGUUAGUAAACCCCAUGAUGACCUGCCUUACUUAUUCCACCAGUAAGACAGGUUGUUACAGGUUACCGUGUUUUUUGGGUGUCAAUUUGAUAAUGGUCUUUGUUGAAACAAACACUCCAUGGUCAAAUCCAGUGCUGAAGUUGAAUAUCAGCAAGUCGCUAUUAUGAUUACUAAAUCUUACUAAAUUCAAUUUACAUCUUUAUUUAAAAUAACUACAACGUGGUGAAGUUUGUCUUCUUCAUGUUCUAUCAAGAUAUCAAAUUGUCAAUAUCUUUAAAAAAAAUUAGCGUACUUAUUUGAUGUUUCAAGGGAUAGAUUCAAGUUCAAAACUACAAUAAAAUACAUAAAUUAUGUAAAUAUAUUAUAAUACC